This 899-nucleotide ribosomal RNA is filed under the name uncultured soil bacterium. Its description in RNAcentral is "bacterial SSU rRNA". It matches the Rfam family "Bacterial small subunit ribosomal RNA", at positions 8 to 916 of the family's 1533-position model. The record is from RNAcentral.
AGAGUUUGAUCCUGGCUCAGGACGAACGCUGGCGGCGUGCUUAACACAUGCAAGUCGAACGGUGAUGAUCAAGCUUGCUUGGUCUGAUCAGUGGCGAACGGGUGAGUAACACGUGAGUAACCUGCCCCAGACUCUGGGAUAACCCCGGGAAACCGGAGCUAAUACCGGAUAUGACACCAAUCCGCAUGGGUAUGGUGUGGAAAGUUUUUCGGUCUGGGAUGGACUCGCGGCCUAUCAGCUUGUUGGUGAGGUAGUGGCUCACCAAGGCGACGACGGGUAGCCGGCCUGAGAGGGCGACCGGCCACACUGGGACUGAGACACGGCCCAGACUCCUACGGGAGGCAGCAGUGGGGAAUAUUGCACAAUGGGCGGAAGCCUGAUGCAGCGACGCCGCGUGAGGGAUGACGGCCUUCGGGUUGUAAACCUCUUUCAGCAGGGAAGAAGCGCAAGUGACGGUACCUGCAGAAGAAGCACCGGCUAACUACGUGCCAGCAGCCGCGGUAAUACGUAGGGUGCGAGCGUUGUCCGGAAUUAUUGGGCGUAAAGAGCUUGUAGGUGGUUUGUCGCGUCUGCUGUGAAAAUCCGAGGCUCAACCUCGGACUUGCAGUGGGUACGGGCAGACUAGAGUGUGGUAGGGGAGACUGGAAUUCCUGGUGUAGCGGUGGAAUGCGCAGAUAUCAGGAGGAACACCGAUGGCGAAGGCAGGUCUCUGGGCCAUUACUGACACUGAGAAGCGAAAGCAUGGGGAGCGAACAGGAUUAGAUACCCUGGUAGUCCAUGCCGUAAACGUUGGGAACUAGGUGUGGGUCUCAUUCCACGAGAUCCGUGCCGCAGCUAACGCAUUAAGUUCCCCGCCUGGGGAGUACGGCCGCAAGGCUAAAACUUAAAGGAAUUGACGG